This 497-nucleotide ribosomal RNA is filed under the name uncultured bacterium. RNAcentral's name for it is "partial 16S ribosomal RNA". It matches the Rfam family "Bacterial small subunit ribosomal RNA", at positions 28 to 507 of the family's 1533-position model. The record is from RNAcentral.
GAUGAACGCUGGCGGCGUGCCUAAUACAUGCAAGUCGAGCGGACAGACGAGAAGCUUGCUUCUCUGAUGUUAGCGGCGGGCGGGUGAGUCACGCGUGGAUAACCUACCUAUCAGACUGGGAUAACUUCGGGAAACCGGAGCUAAUACCGGAUAAUAUUUUGAACCGCAUGGUGCGAAAGUGAAAGACGGUCUUGCUGUCACUUCUAGAUGCAUACGCGCUGCAUGAGCUGGUUGGUAAGGUAACGGCUUACCACGGCAACGAUGCAUAACCGACCGGAGAGAGUGGUAGCCCACCUGGGAAGGGAACCACGGUCAAGACGACUACGGGAGGCAGCAGUAGGCAAUCUUACGCAAUGGGCGGAAACCUUACGGAGUAACGCGGCGUGAGUGAUGAAGGUCUUCGGAUCGGAAAACUCUGUUACUAGGGAAGAACAGAUGUGUACGUAACUGUGCACAGCGUGACGGUACCUAAUCAGAAAGCCACGGCUAACUACGUG